CAGCAGCCGCGGUAAUACGUAGGUGGCAAGCGUUGUCCGGAAUUAUUGGGCGUAAAGGGCUCGCAGGCGGUUUCUUAAGUCUGAUGUGAAAGCCCCCGGCUCAACCGGGGAGGGUCAUUGGAAACUGGGAAACUUGAGUGCAGAAGAGGAGAGUGGAACUCCACGUGUAGCGGUGAAAUGCGUAGAGAGGUGGAGGAACACCAGUGGCGAAGGCGACCCUCUGGUCUGUAACUGACGCUGAGGAGCGAAAGCGUGGGGAGCGAACAGGAUUAGAUACCCCAGUAGUCCCUGUCUCUUAUAC
Molecule: ribosomal RNA, 301 nt
Filed under: uncultured bacterium
Lineage: Bacteria
Description: partial 16S ribosomal RNA
Rfam family: Bacterial small subunit ribosomal RNA
Source: RNAcentral